Molecule: ribosomal RNA, 546 nt
Filed under: Halomonas sp. 46ox
Lineage: Bacteria; Pseudomonadati; Pseudomonadota; Gammaproteobacteria; Oceanospirillales; Halomonadaceae
Description: bacterial SSU rRNA
Rfam family: Bacterial small subunit ribosomal RNA
Source: RNAcentral
UGGAUGAGCCUAUGUCGGAUUAGCUAGUUGGUGAGGUAAAGGCUCACCAAGGCAACGAUCCGUAGCUGGUCUGAGAGGAUGAUCAGCCACAUCGGGACUGAGACACGGCCCGAACUCUACGGGAGGCAGCAGUGGGGAAUAUUGGACAAUGGGCGCAAGCCUGAUCCAGCCAUGCCGCGUGUGUGAAGAAGGCCCUCGGGUUGUAAAGCACUUUCAGCGAGGAAGAACGCCUAGUGGUUAAUACCCAUUAGGAAAGACAUCACUCGCAGAAGAAGCACCGGCUAACUCCGUGCCAGCAGCCGCGGUAAUACGGAGGGUGCAAGCGUUAAUCGGAAUUACUGGGCGUAAAGCGCGCGUAGGUGGCUUGAUAAGCCGGUUGUGAAAGCCCCGGGCUCAACCUGGGAACGGCAUCCGGAACUGUCAAGCUAGAGUGCAGGAGAGGAAGGUAGAAUUCCCGGUGUAGCGGUGAAAUGCGUAGAGAUCGGGAGGAAUACCAGUGGCGAAGGCGGCCUUCUGGACUGACACUGACACUGAGGUGCGAAAGCG